Molecule: long non-coding RNA, 1037 nt
Filed under: Calidris pugnax (ruff)
Lineage: Eukaryota; Metazoa; Chordata; Aves; Charadriiformes; Scolopacidae
Description: lncRNA (ENSCPUG00000018812.1)
Source: RNAcentral
GUGUGUGUGUGUGAGACUGGAUCCUCCCCUGGGGAGCCAGGAGCAGCCCAGCCUGAAAAUCAGAUUUUCAGCCGCUUCUGGGUUUGCAGGGAGCCUUUGUGUGUCCCACCACCACCACCACCACCACCACCACCACCUUCUCCCAGGGCUGCCCAGCCCUGAAAGCUGCAGACAAAGGGAGGCAGCGCUGGCACCGCUGCGGCAGCACCACAGCUCUGGGGGUGGCAGCGAGGAAUGGGCAGCGAGGGGGUUUUCUCCCCCCAUAUUUUCAUUGCUGAGUGAGAGAGCAGGUCACCCCACGCAGACACGUCCCUCCUGACCCACCACGGGCACCUCCUGCUCGCAUCCAGGCAGGGAAUCCAUUUGCCAGAUGCUCCAUGGCAUCUCUGCCGCCUGGUCCCCGAGAUGCCUGGUGUGUCCCCCCCCAUCCCCGCCGAGCCUGGCCCCACAGCAGGUGGUUUGCAAAUGCUGCCUGGACACGCUGGUCCCCACGGGAGGCUGCAGGCAACGUGCAGAGACAAUGAGCCGCGGGGAGCGACGGCGGCUCCGCAGCCCCACUGCAGAGUCAUCACGCCCCGGCUCCUCCCAGGUCCCGCUGCCGUUGUGGCUUUUCCAGGAGGGCUGGAUGGCAGCGCGGGAUGGCGCCGGCCGCCCCUGCCCGCAGCCCUGCAGAGGUGGAGCAGCACCCGCCGCAGCGUGGCUGGCACCACCGGACACCCCGCUACGGCCUGCGGCAUGGGCAGGAGCCAAGUGACCCCGUUUAACCACAGGGAAGGGGCAGAGGUGGCAGUGGCCGUGACAGCGGCAGGGGCUGUGGCAGUAGAAUUGGCAGAGGCAGUGACAGCAGAGGCAGUGGCAGUGACAGUGACAGUGACAGUGGCAGUGGCAGAGACAGUGGCGGUAGAAUUGGCAGUGCCAGUGGCAGUGGCAAUGGCAGUGACAGUGACAGUGGUAGUGGCAGUGACAGUGACAGUAGCAGAGGCAGUGACAGUGACAGAGGCAGUAACAGAGGCACUGACAGUGGCAGAGGCAGUGGC